GAUGAACGCUGGCGGCGUGCCUAAUACAUGCAAGUCGAGCGAACAGAUAAGGAGCUUGCUCCUUUGACGUUAGCGGCGGACGGGUGAGUAACACGUGGGUAACCUACCUAUAAGACUGGGAUAACUUCGGGAAACCGGAGCUAAUACCGGAUAACAUUUGGAACCGCAUGGUUCUAAAGUGAAAGAUGGUUUUGCUAUCACUUAUAGAUGGACCCGCGCCGUAUUAGCUAGUUGGUAAGGUAACGGCUUACCAAGGCAACGAUACGUAGCCGACCUGAGAGGAUGAUCGGCCACACUGGAACUGAGACACGGUCCAGACUCCUACGGGAGGCAGCAGUAGGGAAUCUUCCGCAAUGGGCGAAAGCCUGACGGAGCAACGCCGCGUGAGUGAUGAAGGGUUUCGGCUCGUAAAACUCUGUUAUUAGGGAAGAACAAACGUGUAAGUAACUGUGCACGUCUUGACGGUACCUAAUCAGAAAGCCACGGCUAACUACGUG
Molecule: ribosomal RNA, 497 nt
Filed under: uncultured bacterium
Lineage: Bacteria
Description: partial 16S ribosomal RNA
Rfam family: Bacterial small subunit ribosomal RNA
Source: RNAcentral